Molecule: ribosomal RNA, 545 nt
Filed under: Salmonella enterica subsp. enterica serovar Haifa
Lineage: Bacteria; Pseudomonadati; Pseudomonadota; Gammaproteobacteria; Enterobacterales; Enterobacteriaceae
Description: partial 23S ribosomal RNA
Rfam family: Bacterial large subunit ribosomal RNA
Source: RNAcentral
CUGGCAGUCAGAGGCGAUGAAGGACGUGCUAAUCUGCGAUAAGCGCCGGUAAGGUGAUAUGAACCGUUAUAACCGGCGAUUUCCGAAUGGGGAAACCCAGUGUGACUCGUCACACUAUCAUUAACUGAAUCCAUAGGUUAAUGAGGCGAACCGGGGGAACUGAAACAUCUAAGUACCCCGAGGAAAAGAAAUCAACCGAGAUUCCCCCAGUAGCGGCGAGCGAACGGGGAGGAGCCCAGAGCCUGAAUCAGCAUGUGUGUUAGUGGAAGCGUCUGGAAAGGCGCGCGAUACAGGGUGACAGCCCCGUACACAAAAGCGCAUGUGCUGUGAGCUCGAUGAGUAGGGCGGGACACGUGGUAUCCUGUCUGAAUAUGGGGGGACCAUCCUCCAAGGCUAAAUACUCCUGACUGACCGAUAGUGAACCAGUACCGUGAGGGAAAGGCGAAAAGAACCCCGGCGAGGGGAGUGAAAAAGAACCUGAAACCGUGUACGUACAAGCAGUGGGAGCCCCACCACCAAAGCAUUUGCUGUACCGCGUUGACGGA